CCUCCUCCUCCGCCUCCUCCUCCUCCUCCUCCUUCUCCUCCUUCGAGCGGGGCCCAGGCCCAGCCGCUAACACCGCUGCCGCCGCCGAGCUCCGCCGCUGCCGCCGAGCACCAUGGGAGAUGCCGGGAGCGAGCGCAGCAAAGCGCCCAGUCUGCCGCCUCGCUGUCCCUGCGGCUUCUGGGGGUCCAGCAAGACUAUGAAUCUCUGUUCCAAAUGCUUUGCUGAUUUUCAAAAGAAACAACCAGACGAUGAUUCCGCUCCAAGUACAAGUAACAGCCAAUCAGAUUUAUUUUCCGAAGAGACCACCAGUGACAACAGCAAUACCUCGAUAACCACGCCAACUCUUAGUCCCAGCCAGCAGCCGCUUCCGACAGAACUGAAUGUAACUUCACCAAGUAAAGAGGAGUGUGGGCCAUGCACAGAUACAGCUCAUGUCUCGUUAAUCACACCAACCAAAAGAUCCUGUGGUACAGAUUCACAGUCUGAGAAUGAGGCUUCGCCAGUGAAACGGCCACGACUACUGGAGAAUACUGAACGACCCGAGGAAACCAGCCGAUCUAAACAGAAAAGCCGACGUCGGUGCUUCCAGUGCCAAACCAAACUGGAGCUGGUGCAGCAGGAACUGGGAUCGUGCCGCUGCGGUUACGUGUUCUGUAUGUUGCAUCGCCUCCCCGAGCAGCAUGACUGUACGUUUGACCACAUGGGCCGUGGCCGAGAGGAAGCCAUCAUGAAAAUGGUGAAACUGGACCGGAAAGUGGGGCGCUCUUGCCAGCGCAUUGGGGAAGGGUGCUCCUGAAGGCCGGCUUGGCCGCUACGUGACGCUGUUCUUAGUUCACUAAUGUUAGCCUUAUUUAGGACAAAGUCAGCCAGACACCUUGUACUGGGCACGCGUCAGACUACAGCCAGUCCGUUUCCUUUCCUUAGCCAGCCAUCCUGGUACUGUAGUUUAGGGGUUGAUGGUGGUUGAAAUUGAUUUCUGGCUGGUUACUAAGGUGCCUGCUAGCCAUUGUAUAAAAUUAAAACAUGAAGAAUAUUUUUUUUUGAGCAUGGCUAGUGGAUUUAAAACAACACAUACCUGUCACUGCUGGAGUCAAACUUACAAAAAGCCUUAAGUGGAAAGUGUUCCAGACGGAGACUCUGAGUCAAUAGAGGAGGAGAAGCUGGUGUUCAAGUCCCCACGACGCACAUGGCUUUGCCGGAAGCUCUGGUUAGUGUUCGGCCUUCACCUCUUCACUAUCCUUAGUCCCAGUAGCCAGGAUACCUGAUGGCCACGCGUGCCCGGGCCACGGGAGGCUGUUGCGAUUGGCCCCGUGGCUGGGCUGGGUGGUGGCCUCGCUCUCCCACUGAGCAGGAAAUGGGGGUGGGGACAGGUUAAGAAAAUUUACCUGACUUGCUAUGAAAAAACUCUCUCAUCACACGAGAAGAGAAACAGUAACCUCACUUUGAAAAUCAGCUCCACUCAAGCCUAGUCCACGAAUGAGAACCACCUUUUCUACACAGGACCCUUGGUCACGAGAAGCGCCCGCGGGCGCGCCCUGACCCACGGGCUCUGGUUUGCCGUUUGCCGAGUGCAGGGAUCUGGCAGUGGAUCAAAUAAGGCUAAUUGCAGCACCGCAGCUGUGGCCUCCAAACUGGCCUCUGCAGCUAGGUUUCUAGAUUGGAAGUUUUUUAAAAAGAUGUUUCACAGCCAGCAGGAAUCAAUAGAAGAGCUGGGAGCUGCCUGCAGCUCCGUCCCUUCCAGCAGGAGCCUGCUCAGCCCCUCCAAGGCCAAGGGGACGAUGCCUUGGCCUCGCCUCUCAUGUCUGUGCAGCCCCACAGUCCAAGGGCGACCAGUCCACUUCUACCACAUAGCAAGUUUAGUAAGGGGGGGGGGCAGCAUAUGUCACAGGGACAGAGGUUCGUGGCCAUGGCCCAGCUUGAGAGACACACUCGCUCAGGCAGGUGCGGGGAGGGCCUGUUUCUCAGCGUGUUUCUCUUCAGAGAGGAGUUGAGUGGAGGCAGGAGCUCAGGCCCAGUGGGGAUGGGUGGAGAUGGGCCUGUUUGCCAGUGUUAGGAAAUCAUCACCGAUCAGGUGUGGGGGGUGGGUAGACAGGAGAAAGAUGCCCUUGAAAGCCUGAGCAGGGGUGAAUGGCCCCAGAGCCCCAUCUGAUCCAGGCCGGUGAGGGUCGGAGGCUCCUGCAGAGGCAGUUUGGAUCUGCCCGCACACAGGCUACUGGAAUAGUUUAACCCAGCAACUUACCCUUUUAUACCACAGCAAGUGUUUGCUCAACUCUGUCUGCAAAUUAACAGUUAAUACCUGCAACUACAAAUGUUUUUGGUCCGAAAUACUGAAAUAGGAAAUCACGCUCUUCCCCGCCUCCUCUCCCACCCUACCCCCACCAGAGUGGAAUCCGCUGCAAAAUCUCCAGCCUUAAUUCUUGCUUCAGGACCCAGACCGGCGUCUUGCUCUAGGGCAGCCCAGGGCGGAGGGGCCAGGUCUGCCCACGUUUACCACUGUUACCAAGCCACGGCCCUCUGGCCAGUACCUGGCCAUCCUCAGUGAUGCGGCCCACCUCGGCCCCCCACCAAGCUCUGAUCGUGAAGAGGCCACAGGCGCCCUUCCGGCCCUCCUCAGGCCCCACCGGCUGCUGCUUCCCGGCGGCAGCGAUGGGAAGCAGGCUCUCUGGGGAGCCCGGCCGCACACGGGGCUCGCAGCCCAUGGUCACUUCCUGAUGGUAGAGCUGGGGGUGGGGUGGGAGGGCUUGUUCCCCGGCAGUAUCUGUUCUGUGAAGUUUGUUAAAUGUAAGGAAAGCUUAAAUUCUUGUAUCUUUAAAAGAGAAAAUCUUAUUUAACCCUUUUGUGUUCUAGAUUUACUUACACACAUAGCCUAGAGCUCAGUUUUAGUUUUAACAUUGUGAAAAUAUUAAAAGAAUCUUGUAACUUUAUUCUUUUUUCUCCUGCUGAAAAAAAAAAUUAAACCAAUCGUAUGAAAGUUUGGAUUUCUCUGUUUUGCCGGUUCUCCUAAGUGCCACCUGGAUGACCAGAAAAACAAUAAAAGGUCUCCCCAGCCAGAGGUUGGAAGAGAUGGAGGGCUCUUGUGUGCACUGUCUGGGGCUCACUUGUCUGUGACCUCACUGGGCACAAACACUGGCCCAAGGCUAAAUCACACCGUCCCUGCCGUCAGGACCUCCACCAGAUGGACCUCAGCCCACAGUGGGGAGUGGGAUUCAACCGCAGGGUGGAGCAGCUCCAGAAUCCGUGCUCUCUCCAUAUCAGGAUGCCUCCUCACACAGACAACAUAACAGCAAGUGAGAAGGAAUACACAGUGUGAGAAAUUAACUUCGCCUGGAAGGGAAACCAGGCCUUGAAGACAGGGCGGGAGUGGCCUUCCAGGCAGAAGGGACAGGGAGGACUUCCAGAUAAAGGCUUGGGGCCUCGCUCUCGCCUUCUGUACACCAACGUGCCAGCUCAGCUGUCUCAGUGGAUAAUCCAACCCACUGGCCUUGAACCUAACAUGACGACAGUGCGAAGCCAACACCCAGCCAGGUCCUGGACCACUGCCGAUGAGGAUGAACAUCACGGUGUCUGUACCUCACCAUCAUCAUCUUGUGCAAGGCUGGGGUUCUUCCCUUAGGACCCUAGGCCCCUUCGGAUGUCCACCCGUUGCAAACGGGCAUCCAGAGAGGGGGCCUGUGGGCAGUCCUGACUGUUCAUGGGAGCAGGGGUGGAAAGUGAGCCUGUCCUGGAGAAACUGGCACCUUCUCUGGUGGCCAAGGGGUCGGGGCUGGCCCGAGAUGCCUGCCACCCCAGCAGAGGUGCAAAGGGAAGAGAGGCUGGGAUGCGUCUGCUCUUUUCACACAGACACUGGAGGUCGCUGUUGCCUGGAGGAGUCGUCACUGCCACGAGGGGCGGUACCAGGUGCCGUGUGGAAACUGCCGCUUGUCCCUCACACCCCUAAGCUCCUCUCCCCACCGAGCACCUCAGGCUUCCCUCUCGGUGGAACAGCCAGGUCCUGAGUUUCUCUUCGCUCAGAAGCUUGUGUGAUGCAAUUUCUUUCCUCCGAACCUUCCCAAGACUGCGAUACCCCUUGGAAAGGAUGUGACCAAAAGUGAACGAGGCAUACAGGGCAGAGCCACACUACUGAUUUAUGCAAAACCAUUACCGCAGUCGCCGCAUCAUUUUCCCUUCCCUUCUCGGCAAUCACGUAUCCCAUUAGCCUGUUUGACUACUGCUGCUCACGAAGGGGUACCUUCGCUGAACCAGCUUCAGUGGCUUCUGGAUCUGUCUUCCGAGAGGAGCCAGUUAAAUUGGAAUGUAGUCGUGUGUAUGAAUCCGACGCAGCCUGAGUCACAUCCGUGUGUCCUUUUUUGUAGCUGCUGUUUCUUAUCCCUUUGCCUUUCCUCUCUGGGAGCCGUAAUUCUUGACGUGUCUGAGAUAGUCUGGGGUGAACCCUGGAAAGGACGUACACAAACGUGCUGGCUCCUUCUUGGCGAACAGGCAAAUUCCUCGGCUAGCCACUGUUUGCUGCCUUUCAUUAGAGGGAUUCCCUGAGCACUUCGUUCAAUGUGUCUUCAAGGUUUUUAAAAGCAGAGAAGCCUCUGCUAAUUUUCCCAAGUUGGGCUAAGAGUCCAGCGUGAACUGUAGCAGAAAUCAGGAAAAUUUAAUAAAUGUUGAUCAAUGACUCUACCUU
Globicephala melas (long-finned pilot whale) is the source of this 4669-nucleotide non-coding RNA. The record is from RefSeq and is a predicted model, not a curated record. Lineage: Eukaryota; Metazoa; Chordata; Mammalia; Artiodactyla; Delphinidae.